RNAcentral lists this ribosomal RNA (462 nucleotides) under uncultured bacterium. RNAcentral describes it as "bacterial SSU rRNA". It matches the Rfam family "Bacterial small subunit ribosomal RNA", at positions 337 to 796 of the family's 1533-position model. The record is from RNAcentral.
UCCUACGGGGCGCAGCAGUGAGGAAUAUUGGUCAAUGGGCGAGAGCCUGAACCAGCCAAGUCGCGUGAAGGAAGAAUGUCCUAUGGAUUGUAAACUUCUUUUGUAAGGGAAUAAAAAACGGCACGUGUGCUGUAUUGUAUGUACUUUACGAAUAAGGAUCGGCUAACUCCGUGCCAGCAGCCGCGGUAAUACGGAGGAUCCGAGCGUUAUCCGGAUUUAUUGGGUUUAAAGGGUGCGUAGGCGGACCCAUAAGUCAGUGGUGAAAGUUUGCAGCUCAACUGUAAAAUUGCCAUUGAAACUGUGGGUCUUGAGUGUAAAUGAGGUAGGCGGAAUGUGUUGUGUAGCGGUGAAAUGCUUAGAUAUAACACAGAACACCAAUUGCGAAGGCAGCUUACUGGGAUACAACUGACGCUGAGGCACGAAAGCGUGGGGAUCAAACAGGAUUAGAUACCCCGGUAGUCC